GUAACUAUAGCCUCGUAGUAUAGUUUGAAGUCAGGUAACAUGUCUUUGGAUUUGUUCUUUCAGCUUAGACUUACUUCGGCUACGCAGGCAGGGAACAUGGGCACUGUUGGAAAAGGAGAUUCAGAGAAGCUCUUUUGUGAAGAUCAUAGAAGACAGUUUGUAAAGAUAUUUGAGAUAAAUAGAAGGUGCGUGCUGGAUGCAUUUCAGCUGCAUAAUUAAUGCCACUUAAAAAAGCAAACUUUGUGCAUUCUUCCUUAAACAAUCUAUUUCCAGCCUCUGUGAUGGGUUUUCUCCAUCAGAAGCUCUGGGAACAAUCUGUCUUAGUCUAUUUAUGCAGUGAAGGUGUCUGAAAGUCAGUGACUAAAUUUAAUGCCAUGUAAGACAUGCCUGCUUCCCCUUCCUUUUCCACUACGACUGAGAGUUUCCUGAGGCCUCCUCAGAAGCUGAGCAGAUGCUUCCACUCUUCCUGUACAGCCUGCAGAACCAUAAGCCAAUUAAACCUCUUUUCUUGAUAAAUU
This 518-nucleotide long non-coding RNA is filed under the name Homo sapiens (human). Its description in RNAcentral is "HSALNT0179696". The record is from RNAcentral. Lineage: Eukaryota; Metazoa; Chordata; Mammalia; Primates; Hominidae.